UGGGGAAUAUUGCACAAUGGGCGCAAGCCUGAUGCAGCCAUGCCGCGUGUGUGAAGAAGGCCUUCGGGUUGUAAAGCACUUUCAGCGAGGAGGAAGGUGGUGAGCUUAAUACGCUCAUCAAUUGACGUUACUCGCAGAAGAAGCACCGGCUAACUCCGUGCCAGCAGCCGCGGUAAUACGGAGGGUGCAAGCGUUAAUCGGAAUUACUGGGCGUAAAGCGCACGCAGGCGGUUUGUUAAGUCAGAUGUGAAAUCCCCGGGCUCAACCUGGGAACUGCAUUUGAAACUGGCAAGCUAGAGUCUCGUAGAGGGGGGUAGAACUCCAGGUGUAGCGGUGAAAUGCGUAGAGAUCUGGAGGAAUACCGGUGGCGAAGGCGGCCCCCUGGACGAAGACUGACGCUCAGGUGCGAAAAGGCGUGGGGAGCAAACAGGAUUAGAUACCCCUGGUAGUCCACGCUGUAAAACGAUGUCGAUUUUGGAGGUUGUGCCCCUUGAGGCGUGGCUUCCGGAGCU
This 512-nucleotide ribosomal RNA is filed under the name uncultured bacterium. Its description in RNAcentral is "partial 16S ribosomal RNA". It matches the Rfam family "Bacterial small subunit ribosomal RNA", at positions 355 to 853 of the family's 1533-position model. The record is from RNAcentral.